AGGACUUGACGGUACCCCAUAUCCAUCUAGAGGAGCCUGUCCUAUAAUCGAUAAUCCCCGUUUAACCUCACCAUUUUUAGCCUAUCAGCCUGUAUACCUCCGUCGUCAGCUUACCACGUGAGCGACUUUAAGUGAGCUUAAUGCUCUUACGCCAACACGUCAGGUCAAGGUGCAGCAUAUAAAAUGGGAAGAGAUGGGCUACACUCUCUAACCUAGAAAACACGAAAGACUAUUUAUGAAACUUAGUCCGAAGGCGGAUUUAGCAGUAAAAAGAGACAAUAGAGCUCUUUUUAACACGGCCCUGGGGUGUGUACACACCGCCCGUCACCCUCUUCAAAACCAAAUUAUACAGUUCUUAACGCACCUGAACCCCAUAGAAGAGGCAAGUCGUAACAUGGUAAGCAUACCGGAAGGUGUGCUUGGAAA
This 426-nucleotide ribosomal RNA is filed under the name Dryaderces pearsoni (Pearson's slender-legged treefrog). RNAcentral's name for it is "Osteocephalus pearsoni (Pearson's slender-legged treefrog) partial 12S ribosomal RNA". It matches the Rfam family "Bacterial small subunit ribosomal RNA", at positions 905 to 1522 of the family's 1533-position model. The record is from RNAcentral. Lineage: Eukaryota; Metazoa; Chordata; Amphibia; Anura; Hylidae.